This 444-nucleotide ribosomal RNA is filed under the name Triticum aestivum (bread wheat). Its description in RNAcentral is "partial small subunit ribosomal RNA". Lineage: Eukaryota; Viridiplantae; Streptophyta; Magnoliopsida; Poales; Poaceae. The record is from RNAcentral.
AUGGACAAUGUUGAAGUUACCGCUGCAAGUGGGAAGUCCGGAAAAAGUGGGGUCAUUGUAUGGACAUCUUCCAUGACCAACAAUAUGCUAGGUUUUUUGGCUGACCUUGUUGCUAAAGGGAAGAGAACUUCUAGUGGAUUCAGGGAGACACAUCUCAAACAAUGUACUGCUGUUUUGAAUGAGCAAUUCAAGCUAGCUAUCACCUCUGAUCAAGUUAGAAACCAUCUCAAGAAGUGGAGGAAGAUUUGGGUCAGGGUUGUCAAUUUGAAGAAUUUAAGUGGAGCUCUAUGGGAUGAAGAUACUUGCACAAUUAGGCUCAGCGAAGAACACUAUGCAGGUCAUUGCAUGGUGAGCUUCUUAUAUUAUGAACAAUAUCAUCCCAUUUUCUGCCUUCAUUAUUGUCGUGGAAUUGUCACGGCAGAUGUCCUUAGUAUCAGGACUUAG